UGAAUCUCAUUAUGAAGUACUCUUGCUCUUCAGGUUAAUGUCGAAAGAGGGCCCCUGGUGGUUUCUGCAUGGUGAUGUGAAUAAAGCUAAGAUUGCUGGUUGAGAAUUUGAGAUGGGAAGAAGCAAAAGAAUACAUCCAAUAUGCAAAUCAAAUCAGUUUCUGUUAAUAGUUUUUAUUUGUUAGAUCAACUUAAGCGGCUGCUAGCACAUUUCUGGGCAAGUACUUUAUUAAUUUUAUUUUUGCGCUGAGAUUCAUUAUCUUAUUGAAUCCUUGAAACCAGAAACUAUUUAUCUGUAAGUAUACAAUUUUUUGCAAUUUAGUGAAUUUUCCCAAAAACUUAUAGUAUUAUUCAUAGUUAUCGGUAAAA
Long non-coding RNA from Olea europaea var. sylvestris, 368 nucleotides. RefSeq lists it as uncharacterized. Lineage: Eukaryota; Viridiplantae; Streptophyta; Magnoliopsida; Lamiales; Oleaceae. The transcript has 2 exons. The record is from RefSeq and is a predicted model, not a curated record.